This is an RNA transcript of Lepidothrix coronata (blue-crowned manakin), 3071 nucleotides long. It is a transcript of the gene named membrane progestin receptor alpha-like, with no coding region annotated. The transcript has 5 exons. The record is from RefSeq and is a predicted model, not a curated record. Lineage: Eukaryota; Metazoa; Chordata; Aves; Passeriformes; Pipridae.
GCGUGUUGCAGCAUUGCAGGAGGGUUUAGGAGGCCAAGCAGGGGUCAGGGCUGCCCUCUGUGAGCUGCUGCCCCAGCCAGGGGGGCUGUUUGGGAUGUGGGGCCUCUUUAACCAGGCAAAGUGGGAAAAGAGCACUCGGGAGGGAAGCUGAGCAGCAAACAGCCUGGUUUUGUCUGCAUCUGUGCCCCUUGGAUUCAGACAGGCAUGGGUUACAGACCCAUUCUGAUGAAGAAAUUACGGGUAUUUUUAAAACAAACAGUGUCAUCCCCACCUCCUCCUGUUCCCAAACUUUGAAAAGCUUUUCCUGUCUGAGCUGUCCCUGAAACAACGGCACUUGCCAGGGGUUGAGGCAUAAAUCAGCACUGGAGCUGGAUGGGAUCCAGGCUGUUUUCCUCAGGACUUGUCUGAGCACGAGCAGGCUGUUCUCCGGCCACACUUACCUUUGGAAAAACAACACAAACCAACCAACCAACCAAAAAAAUCUGGCAAAGCAUUUGAGCUGCCCCCGCUCGCUGACUUUGUGUUGAAGCCACUUUUAAACCCCGCAGCAAAGCUUUCCUUGCACCCCAAAGGUUAUUUCGCACAGCGGGGACCCGGAGUGGGGCCACACCAUGGCAACAUUUGUCAGCGAGAAGCUCAGCCGGCUCUUCAUUAACGUGAGGCAGGUCCCUCAGCUGCUGGGGCCCCUCUCUCCCUCCACCGUCAGCAGCUCCGAGGUGCCCAAGGUCUUCUGGAAGCCCUACAUCCACACCGGCUACCGGCCCGUCCAGCAGACCUGGCGCUACUACUUCUCCACCCUCUUCCAGCAGCACAACGAGGCCAUCAACGUCUGGACCCACCUGGUGGCAGCGCUGAUCCUGCUGCUGCGCUUCCAGCAGCUCUCGCGGCGGGUGGACUUCGGGCAGGACCUGCACGCCCAGCCCCUCCUCAUCAUCCUCGCGGCCUCCAUCACCUACCUGACGUUCAGCAGCCUCGCCCACCUCCUGCAGGCCAAAUCCGAGUUCUGGCACUACAGCUUCUUCUUCAUGGACUACGUGGGGGUUGCUGUUUACCAGUAUGGCAGCGCCCUGGGGCACUAUUACUACGCCAUCGAGCCGAGCUGGCACGAGAGGGUGCGGGGGUUUUACAUGCCGGCGGCCGUGCUCCUGGCCUGGCUGUCCUGUGCUGGCUCCUGCUAUGCCAAGUACCGGUACCACCAGUCCGCCCGGCUCCUGGGCCGGCUGUGCCAGGAGCUGCCCUCGGGCCUGGCCUACCUGCUGGACAUCAGCCCCGUGGUCCAUCGCAUCUGCACCGCGCCGCCCUCGGCGCGCCCGGACCCGGCCCUGCUCUACCACAAGUGCCAGGUGCUGUUUUUCCUCAUCGGUGCCUUUUUCUUCUCGCAGCCUUACCCCGAGAAGUGGUUCCCUGGCAAGUGCCACUUCUUCGGGCAGAGCCACCAGAUCUUCCACGUGUGCCUGGUGCUCUGCACGCUGGCGCAGAUCGAGGCCGUGGUGCUGGACUACGAAUCCAGGCGGCACAUUUAUUCCGCUCUCCAGGGGGACCUGGCACACAACUUCUCUGCCCUUUGCCUCUUCACUGUGACCUGCGCUGUCCUCACAGCCGCCUACAUGGCCCGGAAGGUGAAGAACAAGCUGAGCUUCAAGGAAGAGUAAAAACAGAAAUAGUUCCAGCUUGCUCUUACGAAUGGUACAUAUUUAAUUCAGCUCUGAAUAAAGAGUUGGAACAAAGUGUUUCGGUGCUGCGGCCCUGUGCCCCGACAGUGGUGGCCUGGGGAAGGCUCCUGGAAGCUGCCAGGUCUCACAGCACGAGCCUCUCACAGCCAAGCUAAAAGCAGCCACCCGAAUUCUGGAGAGGAAACCCACCUCGGUGGUGCUCACACAGAGCAGAGCCCCCCAAACUCGCACCAAGCAAACCACCAUCCCCACCUUCUUCAGCUCCCACACAGAUGAAAAAGACAAAGAAAACACCAGGCCGUCUCCUUUCACCUCAAAUAAGGACAGUGAAGACACAGGUGUCCCUCUGGCUGCCUGCCCUGUGAAGAUCUUGGCCUUGCCACAGGUGAAAACAGCCCGGGAUCAACCCUUUGGAUCCGAGGAGGGGGUGCAGGUCACAUCCCAGGGCCGGGCAGGGAAAGCACCUUUGCCAGACUCCUUGGAGCUACAAGUGGAGUCACAGAGCCAGGGUAAAGCCUCCUGUGGGCCAGGAGGGGAUUCCUGGUGCUGCAGCUUCACCCAGGACUCAGAGGGCCCCCGGAUCAUCAGUCACAGGAACAAAUCCCAGUUAUUUGCUGGAGAAACGGUUUCGGGAAGCAGCAGUGUCACAUCAGACUGGGGGGUAACCAAACAGGAGGGCCAGGAGGUGAAGGCUGGACUGGAUUUCCAACCAGGGCUUGGUGCAAAGCAGAGUAAGAAACCACAGCAGUGGAGUAGUGUUAAUUCUUUAAUUGAUUUUGCUGAGACUGAGAAUAUAAAUCCCGUGCCAGGAGCCAGGCCCUGGGCUCCUGGGGGGGUUUGUUCAUCCCCACAGAGCCCAGCGAGAGCUCAGCCCCUGAGAGAGCGUGGCCAGAACAUGGCAGGGGCUGGGGUGGGCUGGGACAGCCCCUGCAGGGAGCUCUUCUGCCAGGACUCGGAGGGGAACAGGGUCAUUGCUCACGGCUGCAGGGACAGGGGCAUUUCCCAGGGGAACAGUUCCAGCUGUGCUGCCUCCAGCCAGCCCCGGGGGCAGCAGCUGGAGCUGGGCCCUGAGUUACUGUUCACACAGGAUUCUGAAGGGAACAGGGUGAUUAAACACUGGUGAGUGACCUCAGUGUCCUGUGUGGCCUCUUGUGCAGCAGGAAAGUGGGAGGGAGGAGCUGGAAGAAAGUUGUCAGAACUUGGGAAGUGAACCUGCUGUGUCUGUGUGCAGGGUAUAACCAGCAGCCACAGGCAGCACCUCUCUGUUUUUUAUUUUGCUUUAAUACAAAUAAAAUGUUGAAGGAGUUUAUUUAUAAGGGGUUUGACUGCUUCCCUCAGGAUCAGAGCCCAUAGUACUGCCCUGUGUUCCUGUCCAGCCUGCACAUGGAGCACAUUCCC